UGUUUUAUAAAAAAUGUGAGUUGCAAAACCCAUGUUAUGAAAUAUGAAUUGUUAAUGAUUUCAUCAAUUUAAAGUAUCCAUUAAUGAUAAUAUUCAUAAAUAUUUAGUAUUUUCAACAAAUAUAAUUUCUAUAUUUAACGUAGAAGAAAAGUAGAGGCUGAGUUUGUUCCAGGUGAAUGUAACAUAAAGAUCUCUUGUGUUCUCACUUAAAAUAAUGCAUGGACAUUCGAUAGAAAACGUUUCUAUGCAGCGUUCUUUCUAUACUGCCAUAUCGUAUCCAUUUACACGGUAACAUAUGACUCGCUUACUCUACAUUCCUAUGUAUGUGACAAGUAAACAUUUAACAAAUAUUAUUUUAUUUCAUUUUUUAAAUUAAUUAUGCUAUUACUUUGUUUCAAACAUGAACAUAGAAUUAUAUUUACCCAAGAAUCUUAUAAUGGUAAAAUUAUCUUUAAUUUAUAUGAAUACAAAAUUAACUGAGAACUUCUCUAAUAUUGAAUGUGAUAUGUAUAAUUUCAUUAUGUAAAUCUUUCAAACCAAAAGCAAAUAAUUAAUUAACUAUACUUUUCAUUUUAUAUGGGAUCAUUAUGUGAAUGUGGGAUUUUUUAAGAAGCAACUUACUUUCAUAAGUUUAUUUAUUGUAAGUAAUAUGACAUUAAUUUUAUAAGCAGGAUAUAAGUAGAAUAUAAACAGGAAUUUUGAUUUUUUUGUCACUAAAAUUAAGAUGUUAAUCAUGUUGUUGUUAAAGUUUUAUUUAAUUAAGCAAUAAUCAAGGUGAUGCAAAUGAUGUUAUUCUUUGAGACAAAAAUUAGUUGUAAAAUUUAUCAAGCCUCGAUUGUUCACAAUUUAUGUAAUUGCACUAUUUACUCAAACCUAAAUACAUAUGUAGUAGCAAUUAUACAUUAAUAAAAGCUUUGUACCUACAAUAAAUAAAGAAAAUAUAAAUUA
Long non-coding RNA from Bombus pyrosoma, 948 nucleotides. RefSeq lists it as uncharacterized. The transcript has 2 exons. NCBI's taxonomy places the organism in Eukaryota, Metazoa, Arthropoda, Insecta, Hymenoptera, Apidae. The record is from RefSeq and is a predicted model, not a curated record.